UUGAUUUUCUUAGAAGAUGUGCUGGCAUUGCAGGUGCACUCUUCAAAAACCAAUAAUCCACCUGUGCACUUUUGGUAGGCAACCAUGCCUAUGCAUUUUACAAACAACUAUUGAUGUAAUUGAAUGUGUUGAAUCAUGUAAUA
RNAcentral lists this unclassified non-coding RNA (143 nucleotides) under Clavaria fuscata. RNAcentral describes it as "internal transcribe spacer 1". The record is from RNAcentral. Lineage: Eukaryota; Fungi; Basidiomycota; Agaricomycetes; Agaricales; Clavariaceae.